Molecule: transfer RNA, 80 nt
Filed under: Apaloderma vittatum (bar-tailed trogon)
Lineage: Eukaryota; Metazoa; Chordata; Aves; Trogoniformes; Trogonidae
Rfam family: tRNA
About the family: Transfer RNA (tRNA) molecules are approximately 80 nucleotides in length.
Source: Rfam by way of RNAcentral
GGCUGAUUAGCUCAGUGGUUUGAGCGCGGUGCUGACAACAAUGACACACUGAGAUCGCGGGUUCGAUUCCCACUCGGUCC